Molecule: ribosomal RNA, 253 nt
Filed under: uncultured prokaryote
Description: partial 16S ribosomal RNA
Rfam family: Bacterial small subunit ribosomal RNA
Source: RNAcentral
UACAGAGGCCCCAAGCGUUACUGAGAAUCACUGGGUUUAAAGGGUGCGUAGGUGGUCCGUUAAGUCAGUUGUGAAAUCCCCGGGCUCAACCCGGGAACUGCUUCUGAUACUGGCGGACUUGAGGCCAGUAGGGGUCACUAGAACAGACGGUGGAGCGGUGAAAUGCGUAGAUAUCGUCUGGAAUGCCUGUGGUGAAGACGGGUGACUGGGCUGGUUCUGACACUGAGGCACGAAAGCGUGGGGAGCGAACGGG